AGAAUGGUGGAAGUUUCUGAUGGAGAAAGAGGUCCUUUGAUUUUUGUGGAUGUGUUAGAUGAGAAUCUUGCCACCCGUGUCUUCCGCAAGCCUGGCAUCAUACCCUGGCUUUGAUCCAAUGUGUUGGAGCCCUCCUGGGCUCAUGCCAUAGGGACCAGGGAAGCUGGGCUCUCAAGCCAGGCUGUUCAGAUGCCAGACCCUGAAUGUCUGUGCAUGUGUGUACGUGCACAUUUGUGCACACAUGUAAAAUAAUGGUGGAGCACGACCUUCUCAGCACUCUGUCACCUCUUGCACCCUUUUGAGGCAGGUCCUGCAGAGAUCCACACUCAGGAACACUGGGCUGCUGCCUUAGUCACACAGCUACAAUGAGGAAUGGCCAGGGCAGCUGAGCAGGCACAGGUCCUACCCCGGCCCAAGAAGUCAGAUUGGACCCUCAAAAUGAUCUCUCACUGCAGGACAUCUCUCAGCUGCCACUGCCCCACUUGUGAAGGACACUUGAGCUGCCAUCUGAGAUGUGACACGGGCACCCUGGCCACCUCCACCCCACACCUCACCUGCUGCAUACCUGUAGUCCUGUCAGUGGCCCCUUAGUGUUGGGCUGCCGUGAGGCACACAUAGAUGAUGAGAAGAGCAGGGUCAGGGUGUGUAUUCCUGACUCUCCUUUCAGUGCCUUGGGUGGGCUGUGUCCCAGCACCAAAUGCUAUCCACGUCUCAAGGAAGCAGACUGUAAGUUCCAACCCCAGCUCUGUGCCCUAUCUCCUUCAGCUGGAAAUGUUUUGCUGCUGCUAGCCCAAAGCACUGCUCUGUUCCUCUUGCUCCUGAACCUUCUCCUUCACAGCACACUCUGGAAAGAAUCUCUCGCUUUAGUCCCCCGUUUCAAGUGUGCUGCCUGUUUUGUUGGGAUCUGACUGACGCUCUGCCUGCUAUAUAAGGGCCUCCCUACUUGCUGUUCCUGCUGCCCAAAUGCUUUUCCCUUGAGGUGUUACAUGGACAGCUGCCUUUCAGCUUAAGGAUUUUGUCCUGACCACCAUCCUUCUUAGCCCUUACUCUGCUAGGUCUCCAUCCCAUUGCCCUAGAUUAUAUUCUCCAUUGUGUGUAUGAUGAUGACUCGUCUGGCUUUCUCUCCUUGACUAGAAACCUUGUGAGAGGAGAGGCUUUGUUUGCCUUGUUAAUUUCUGUAUCCUCCAGCCUCAGGCAGAUAGCACCACCUGCAGCAGGCAUGAACUCUAAUGUUGGUUGAAUCUGUGAAUGAAGUGACUUAAUGUGUAGAUCAGGAGCAGCACAAGUGAUCAGUGCAGCACUGGCAGUAAAUAUAUGAACUCGCCUAAAGGAAGCAUGAAUGGGCCACCUGAGAGAAAACGCGUAGAAUGUACACACAUGCGGGAGGCAAAGCGAGGAGCAUGUGAACAGACAUGAGAGGAGUGGGCGGGCUCAUCUGAAGAGUCCCUGGCGAACCAGUCACUUCUGCCCCCAUGGAACUCAGGGGUCAGCUGAGGUCUCUGGCAUCUGUGGGUGGUGGGGGACUGAGCUGGAGCAACCAGGCCUGCAGAUCUCAUGGCUGGGACUGGGAGAGCAGCUCUAGAUCACCCACCUCCAGGAGCUGGGGUUCUGGGUAAGGGGGCAAUGAUAAUGCAGUGUAGAAAGACUUGUGCUGGCUUGCCGGGUGCUGUGUUACUUGGCAGAGAUGCCCACCUUACCAUGAGGAGUCUUUUUGAAGGAGCUCUGCAGGGCAUGUAAUCUGUCCACAUCACUGGGGG
Molecule: long non-coding RNA, 1757 nt
Filed under: Fukomys damarensis (Damara mole-rat)
Lineage: Eukaryota; Metazoa; Chordata; Mammalia; Rodentia; Bathyergidae
Description: lncRNA (ENSFDAG00000030662.1)
Source: RNAcentral